This 491-nucleotide ribosomal RNA is filed under the name uncultured bacterium. RNAcentral describes it as "partial 16S ribosomal RNA". It matches the Rfam family "Bacterial small subunit ribosomal RNA", at positions 28 to 507 of the family's 1533-position model. The record is from RNAcentral.
GAUGAACGCUAGCUACAGGCUUAACACAUGCAAGUCGCGGGGCAGCAUGGGGGUUGCUUGCAACCCCUGAUGGCGACCGGCGCACGGGUGAGUAACGCGUAUCCAACCUGCCCUUCACCACGGGAUAACCCGGCGAAAGUCGGACUAAUACCGUAUGUUGUCCAUUGACGGCAUCCGAUUUGGACGAAAGACUUGGCGGUGAAAGGAUGGGGAUGCGUCCGAUUAGCUUGACGGCGGGGUAACGGCCCACCGUGGCUACGAUCGGUAGGGGUUCUGAGAGGAAGGUCCCCCACACUGGAACUGAGACACGGUCCAGACUCCUACGGGAGGCAGCAGUGAGGAAUAUUGGUCAAUGGGCGUAAGCCUGAACCAGCCAAGUAGCGUGCAGGAUGACGGCCCUAUGGGUUGUAAACUGCUUCUAUGCGGGGAUAAAGUGGCCCACGUGUGGGCUUUUGCAGGUACCGCAUGAAUAAGGACCGGCUAAUUCCGUG